CUGUUCUCCGCUGUUUGCUGGCGGGUGGGUGGUGCAGCUCAGCGAUGUGCUGCAACCACUGCAGGGGCUGCAGGGAGCACUGCCGCCAUCUGUGAUGUGGAUCAGACCACCCUGCCAUGCUUGUGGCUUGGGCCCAGCUCCCGUCCUUCACUGCGGGGCAGGAGGGUCAUUACAUGGUGCAGUGUUUGCAGACCCUCCUGCUGAAACGGAGGGUUUGAACCUGUAAUUGGCGCUGGCCCUACACAGGCAUGGGGCACAAGGCAGGAAGAGCUAUGUGGUGUCGGAAACGGGAGGGCAAGGGGCUCACUGCCCCUGCUGGAGACUGUGGCUGGGAUGUCCUGUUCAGGGCAUCAUCUGCACCUGCAUGUCCUUGUAGCAUCAGCAGCGCCAGCAGUGCCUUCCUGGUGCUUUUCCAUGGAUCCAAUUCUUGUGUCCCUUCUGGGUGAUGGGUUGUGCUCUGCAGCAGCAGCAUGAGGAAGGAAAGUGUGAUUGGUGAGAUGGGGCCACGGCUGCACUUUAAAGGCUUUGAUAGCAAUCACCGUGAGCAGAUGAGGAAGCAUUACAGCAAGCUGCGCACUGAGCCUGGACCAUGCAGCCUCUCCAGUGUGCUCACCUGCUCCUCCUGCUUGCCCUGCUUGCCUUCUGCUUGCCCUCAGGCUGGGCGGAGGACAACAGCACCAUGACAAAUGGGGCACCAGACCAGAGCCCGCCCUGCGGCAGCCCGGCCCUCCUGUCCCUCGCACUGGGGCUGGCUGCGUUCCUCCUGCGGCUGUGCUGAGCUGGGCCCGAAGACCCCUGCAGGCCGGCAUCCCCCUGCUCCGGAUCUCCGCCGCCAGGCCCAGCCAGCUCCUGUCCCCGUGUUCCCGCAGCGCUUCCCUAUGGCCGCAGCCUCCAGGAGGACCAACUCCAAGCACAGCCUCCGCAGUUGUGCUGUGAAGCUCUGAGAAAUAAAGUACGAGGCUCUAACGCGUUUGUUCUAGUGCUGUUACGGGCUGGCAUUGGGGGGCGCUCGCUGAGGGGAGGACGAGGCCCGCUCGCG
RNAcentral lists this long non-coding RNA (1039 nucleotides) under Gallus gallus (chicken). Its description in RNAcentral is "long non-coding RNA NONGGAT005090". The record is from RNAcentral. Lineage: Eukaryota; Metazoa; Chordata; Aves; Galliformes; Phasianidae.